This 469-nucleotide ribosomal RNA is filed under the name Comamonadaceae bacterium. RNAcentral's name for it is "bacterial SSU rRNA". It matches the Rfam family "Bacterial small subunit ribosomal RNA", at positions 391 to 853 of the family's 1533-position model. The record is from RNAcentral. Lineage: Bacteria; Pseudomonadati; Pseudomonadota; Betaproteobacteria; Burkholderiales; Comamonadaceae.
GCAAUGCCGCGUGCAGGAUGAAGGCCUUCGGGUUGUAAACUGCUUUUGUACGGAGCGAAACGGUCCGCCCUAAUACGGUGGGCUAAUGACGGUACCGUAAGAAUAAGCACCGGCUAACUACGUGCCAGCAGCCGCGGUAAUACGUAGGGUGCGAGCGUUAAUCGGAAUUACUGGGCGUAAAGCGUGCGCAGGCGGUGAUGUAAGACAGAUGUGAAAUCCCCGGGCUCAACCUGGGACCUGCAUUUGUGACUGCAUCGCUAGAGUACGGUAGAGGGGGAUGGAAUUCCGCGUGUAGCAGUGAAAUGCGUAGAUAUGCGGAGGAACACCGAUGGCGAAGGCAAUCCCCUGGACCUGUACUGACGCUCAUGCACGAAAGCGUGGGGAGCAAACAGGAUUAGAUACCCUGGUAGUCCACGCCCUAAACGAUGUCAACUGGUUGUUGGGUCUUCACUGACUCAGUAACGAAGCU